Molecule: long non-coding RNA, 628 nt
Filed under: Anser brachyrhynchus (Pink-footed goose)
Lineage: Eukaryota; Metazoa; Chordata; Aves; Anseriformes; Anatidae
Description: lncRNA (ENSABRG00000014453.1)
Source: RNAcentral
CCUGGGGUUCCUGGAUUUUGCGGGGAGGUGAGCUGUGUCAGCAGCCUGGGCUGAGACUGGAUAUGGGAUAGCAACAGAGUGUGCGAUGCACUGGGUCUCUGGUGCAGUCCUGGAUUCAGAUGACGCCUGUCAGAUACACAUCUGAAAUCCAGCCCAUGGGAACUUAAAGGAGUUCUUCAAACUAAUGACAGCUGUAGCAUUGGAGAAACCAAGAUCAGUCUGACAGGUGUAUGGGACAGACAAAGAAGAAAGACAGAAGGUAGAGGGACAGUGGCAGGUUUGCUUUACAUAGACAGCAUAGACAGCAGAAAAUCCUCAGUAGCAGAAGCUAUUUAAAGUCCCUGGCCCAAUAUCGAAUCCUCAUAUUUGGCAGUAGCAGAUUUCAGCUGGAUUUUCUGGGCACCUGCUGGCAGUAUGCUCUGCACCUCUGUUGGAGACCAAGGUUGAGGAUUGAGCUCUGGAGUCCUCCCAUGACCAAGGUCUGGCUUUACACUGCUGUGGGGUGAUGUGCUGACCUGACACACCAUUGGAAAGCACUGGAGGAUGCAAAGGUCCAUGAGAGAGGAUGGCUGAGCGUGUAUCUCAUUGGAGAUACAAGGAAAAUGCCUGAAGCCUGAGGACACAGACU